RNAcentral lists this small nucleolar RNA (92 nucleotides) under Vitis vinifera (wine grape). RNAcentral describes it as "Small nucleolar RNA U61". It matches the Rfam family "Small nucleolar RNA U61". The record is from Rfam by way of RNAcentral. Lineage: Eukaryota; Viridiplantae; Streptophyta; Magnoliopsida; Vitales; Vitaceae.
UAGCCGUGAUGAAACUUCAGUUCUGUGUACCAAAGACUCUCUUCGGAGUUGGUCUGUGACGGCAACACAACCCUCUAAGAAGUUCUGAGCAU